RNAcentral lists this ribosomal RNA (221 nucleotides) under Stenotrophomonas maltophilia. Its description in RNAcentral is "partial 23S ribosomal RNA". It matches the Rfam family "Bacterial large subunit ribosomal RNA", at positions 1 to 220 of the family's 2925-position model. RNAcentral also lists the same sequence under 1 other name. Lineage: Bacteria; Pseudomonadati; Pseudomonadota; Gammaproteobacteria; Lysobacterales; Lysobacteraceae. The record is from RNAcentral.
GUUAUAUGGUCAAGCGAAUAAGCGCACACGGUGGAUGCCUUGGCGGUCAGAGGCGAUGAAGGACGUGGCAGCCUGCGAAAAGUAUCGGGGAGCUGGCAACAAGCUUUGAUCCGGUAAUGUCCGAAUGGGGAAACCCACCCGCUUGCGGGUAUCCUGCAGUGAAUACAUAGCUGCUGGAAGCGAACCUGGUGAACUGAAAUAUCUAAGUAACCAGAGGAAAA